CAAAAACAUAGCUUUUUGGUGAAAGUAAAAAGUAGGGUCUGCCCAGUGAGUAAUUUUAACGGCCGCAAUAUUUGUGCGAAGGUAGCAUAAUCAUUUGUCUUUUAAUUGAUGACUGGAAUGAAUGGCUGGACGGGGAUAAGCUGUCUUAUGUAUAUAUAUUUGAAAUUUACUUUUAAGUAAAAAGGCUUAAAUAUUUUAGAGGGACGAGAAGACCCUAUUGAGUUUAAUAGAAUUUAUUUAAAUUUUUCUUAAAUUUUUAUGUAAUCUAUUUAGUUGGGGAGAUUUGAUAUUAUUAACUAUAUAAGAAUUAAUAGACUUUAAGUUUUUAGGAUCCAUAUUUUAUGAGUGUUAAGGUAAAUUACCUUAGGGAUAACAGCGUAAUAUUUUUUUAGAGUUCAAAUCGAUUAAAAUGAUUACGACCUCGAUGUUGGAUUAAGGAACCUAAUUUGGAGAAAAUUUUAAU
This 463-nucleotide ribosomal RNA is filed under the name Nymphon australe. Its description in RNAcentral is "partial 16S ribosomal RNA". It matches the Rfam family "Bacterial large subunit ribosomal RNA", at positions 1808 to 2569 of the family's 2925-position model. Lineage: Eukaryota; Metazoa; Arthropoda; Pycnogonida; Pantopoda; Nymphonidae. The record is from RNAcentral.